This 108-nucleotide small nucleolar RNA is filed under the name Gossypium hirsutum (cotton). RNAcentral's name for it is "Plant small nucleolar RNA R71". It matches the Rfam family "Plant small nucleolar RNA R71". From Rfam's summary of the family: R71 is a member of the C/D box family of snoRNAs containing the C (UGAUGA) and D (CUGA) box motifs. Multiple nearly identical copies of this snoRNA have been identified in Arabidopsis, and it is thought to function as a 2'-O-ribose methylation guide for 18S ribosomal RNA. The record is from Rfam by way of RNAcentral. Lineage: Eukaryota; Viridiplantae; Streptophyta; Magnoliopsida; Malvales; Malvaceae.
AGUUCGUGGUGAGGACACCUUCUCAACAAAUCUUUAAAUCUCUCAUAUGUAUCAUAAAAUGUCUCAAUAUCAAACUGAAAAAAAAGAAGAGAUGUUGUUCCUCAACUU